UAUAAAAUUCAGCUCCGAGCCAAACAGCCUGAAUGCUUAUAGCAAUGGUUGCCGGCCGUUAGGGUAUGUUGGGAAACUGACCUGCCUUCCAUUGUGAAAAGGAGAUUGGAUCUGGUUUUU
RNAcentral lists this non-coding RNA (120 nucleotides) under Desulfotomaculum sp. RNAcentral's name for it is "MoCo sequence". It matches the Rfam family "Molybdenum/Tungsten riboswitch aptamer (Moco RNA motif)". Lineage: Bacteria; Bacillati; Bacillota; Clostridia; Eubacteriales; Desulfotomaculaceae. The record is from RNAcentral.